AACGGAGGAUGCAAGCGUUAUCCGGAAUGAUUGGGCGUAAAGCGUCCGCAGGUGGCAGUUCAAGUCUGCUGUCAAAGACCGGGGCUUAACUUCGGAAAGGCAGUGGAAACUGAACAGCUAGAGUAUGGUAGGGGCAGAGGGAAUUCCUGGUGUAGCGGUGAAAUGCGUAGAGAUCAGGAAGAACAUCGGUGGCGAAGGCGCUCUGCUGGACCAUAACUGACACUCAGGGACGAAAGCUAGGGGAGCGAAUGGG
RNAcentral lists this ribosomal RNA (253 nucleotides) under uncultured bacterium. Its description in RNAcentral is "partial 16S ribosomal RNA". It matches the Rfam family "Bacterial small subunit ribosomal RNA", at positions 524 to 776 of the family's 1533-position model. The record is from RNAcentral.